CGGGGUCUAAUACCGGAUACUGACCCGCUUGGGCAUCCAAGCGGUUCGAAAGCUCCGGCGGUGCAGGAUGAGCCCGCGGCCUAUCAGCUUGUUGGUGAGGUAAUGGCUCACCAAGGCGACGACGGGUAGCCGGCCUGAGAGGGCGACCGGCCACACUGGGACUGAGACACGGCCCAGACUCCUACGGGAGGCAGCAGUGGGGAAUAUUGCACAAUGGGCGAAAGCCUGAUGCAGCGACGCCGCGUGAGGGAUGACGGCCUUCGGGUUGUAAACCUCUUUCAGCAGGGAAGAAGCGAAAGUGACGGUACCUGCAGAAGAAGCGCCGGCUAACUACGUGCCAGCAGCCGCGGUAAUACGUAGGGCGCGAGCGUUGUCCGGAAUUAUUGGGCGUAAAGAGCUCGUAGGCGGCUUGUCACGUCGGUUGUGAAAGCCCGGGGCUUAACCCCGGGUCUGCAGUCGAUACGGGCAGGCUAGAGUUCGGUAGGGGAGAUCGGAAUUCCUGGUGUAGCGGUGAAAUGCGCAGAUAUCAGGAGGAACACCGGUGGCGAAGGCGGAUCUCUGGGCCGAUACUGACGCUGAGGAGCGAAAGCGUGGGGAGCG
RNAcentral lists this ribosomal RNA (600 nucleotides) under Streptomyces griseorubens. RNAcentral's name for it is "bacterial SSU rRNA". It matches the Rfam family "Bacterial small subunit ribosomal RNA", at positions 157 to 770 of the family's 1533-position model. Lineage: Bacteria; Bacillati; Actinomycetota; Actinomycetes; Kitasatosporales; Streptomycetaceae. The record is from RNAcentral.